ACUCCUACGGGAGGCAGCAGUGGGGAAUAUUGCGCAAUGGGCGAAAGCCUGACGCAGCAACGCCGCGUGGGUGAAGAAGGUCUUCGGAUCGUAAAGCCCUGUCAGGAGGGACGAAACAAAUGACGGUACCUCCAAAGGAAGCACUGGCUAACUCCGUGCCAGCAGCCGCGGUAAUACGGGGAGUGCAAACGUUGUUCGGAAUCAUUGGGCGUAAAGCGCGCGUAGGCGGUCUGUCAGGUCGGGUGUGAAAUCCCAGGGCUCAACCCUGGACGUGCGCUCGAAACCGGCAGACUUGAGUCUCUGAGGGAGAAGUGGAAUUCCAGGUGUAGGGGUGAAAUCCGUAGAUAUCUGGAGGAACACCGGUGGCGAAGGCGACUUCUUGGCAGAGCACUGACGCUGAGGCGCGAAAGCGUGGGGAGCAAACAGGAUUAGAUACCCUGGUAGUC
This 446-nucleotide ribosomal RNA is filed under the name uncultured bacterium. RNAcentral describes it as "bacterial SSU rRNA". It matches the Rfam family "Bacterial small subunit ribosomal RNA", at positions 335 to 795 of the family's 1533-position model. The record is from RNAcentral.